AUUGCGUCGUCCCCCCCUCCCUGGCCCAUGUCCUGAAAGGGCCGCGGGCCUUAUAGCGUGGGGGCGGAAGUUGGCUUCCCGUGCAUUGUCUGCUGCGGCUAGCCUGAAAAGCACGGUUCCCUCGGCGCGGACGUCGCGACAAGUGGUGGUCGUCGAGAUUGUACGCGAGUCGCCGGCAAGCUGCGUCGAGGUGAGCAUUUUGGACCCUGUUGCGUGCGAGAUGAGCCCUUCCCGGAGGUGCAAAUCCAACGAUUGCGACCCCAGGUCAGGC
Molecule: ribosomal RNA, 271 nt
Filed under: Cynanchum longipes
Lineage: Eukaryota; Viridiplantae; Streptophyta; Magnoliopsida; Gentianales; Apocynaceae
Description: partial 26S ribosomal RNA
Source: RNAcentral